UACGUAGGUGGCAAGCGUUGUCCGGAUUUACUGGGCGUAAAGGGAGCGUAGGCGGAUACUUAAGUGGGAUGUGAAAUACCUGGGCUUAACUUGGGUGCUGCAUUCCAAACUGGGUGUCUAGAGUGUUGGAGAGGAAAGUGGAAUUCCUAGUGUAGCGGUGAAAUGCGUAGAGAUUAGGAAGAACACCAGUGGCGAAGGCGACUUUCUGGACAAUAACUGACGCUGAGGCUCGAAAGCGUGGGGAG
RNAcentral lists this ribosomal RNA (245 nucleotides) under uncultured Clostridium sp. RNAcentral describes it as "partial 16S ribosomal RNA". It matches the Rfam family "Bacterial small subunit ribosomal RNA", at positions 524 to 768 of the family's 1533-position model. Lineage: Bacteria; Bacillati; Bacillota; Clostridia; Eubacteriales; Clostridiaceae. RNAcentral also lists the same sequence under 1 other name. The record is from RNAcentral.